AAUAGAUACCCAGGUAGUCCACGCCCUAAACGAUGUCUACUAGUUGUUGGUGGAGUAAAAUCCAUUAGUAACGCAGCUAACGCGUGAAGUAGACCGCCUGGGGAGUACGGUCGCAAGAUUAAAACUCAAAGGAGUUGACGGGGGCCCGCACAAGCGGUGGAUUAUGUGGAUUAAUUCGAUGCAACGCGAAAAACCUUACCUGGCCUUGACAUGCCACUAACGAGGCAGAGAUGCAUUAGGUGCCCGAAAGGGAAAGUGGACACAGGUGCUGCAUGGCUGUCGUCAGCUCGUGUCGUGAGAUGUUGGGUUAAGUCCCGCAACGAGCGCACCCUUGCCAAUAAUUGCCAUCAUUCAGUUGGGCACUUUAUUGGGACUGCCGGUGACAAACCGGAGGAAGGUGGGGACGACGUCAAGUCCUCAUGGCCCUUAUGGCCAGGGCUUCACACGUAAUACAAUGGUCGGUACAGAGGGUAGCCAAGCCGCGAGGUGGAGCCAAUCCCAGAAAGCCGAUCGUAGUCCGGAUUGCAGUCUG
RNAcentral lists this ribosomal RNA (532 nucleotides) under uncultured bacterium. RNAcentral's name for it is "bacterial SSU rRNA". It matches the Rfam family "Bacterial small subunit ribosomal RNA", at positions 777 to 1307 of the family's 1533-position model. The record is from RNAcentral.